AGCUUGCUCUGCUGGAUCAGUGGCGAACGGGUGAGUAACACGUGAGCAAUCUGCCCCUGACUCUGGGAUAAGCGCUGGAAACGGCGUCUAAUACCGGAUACGAGCUGCGAAGGCAUCUUCAGCAGCUGGAAAGAACUUCGGUCAGGGAUGAGCUCGCGGCCUAUCAGCUAGUUGGUGAGGUAACGGCUCACCAAGGCGUCGACGGGUAGCCGGCCUGAGAGGGUGACCGGCCACACUGGGACUGAGACACGGCCCAGACUCCUACGGGAGGCAGCAGUGGGGAAUAUUGCACAAUGGGCGAAAGCCUGAUGCAGCAACGCCGCGUGAGGGACGACGGCCUUCGGGUUGUAAACCUCUUUUAGCAGGGAAGAAGCGAAAGUGACGGUACCUGCAGAAAAAGCGCCGGCUAACUACGUGCCAGCAGCCGCGGUAAUACGUAGGGCGCAAGCGUUAUCCGGAAUUAUUGGGCGUAAAGAGCUCGUAGGCGGUUUGUCGCGUCUGCUGUGAAAACCCGAGGCUCAACCUCGGGCCUGCAGUGGGUACGGGCAGACUAGAGUGCGGUAGGGGAGAUUGGAAUUCCUGGUGUAGCGGUGGAAUGCGCAGAUAUCAGGAGGAACACCGAUGGCGAAGGCAGAUCUCUGGGCCGUAACUGACGCUGAGGAGCGAAAGGGUGGGGAGCAAACAGGCUUAGAUACCCUGG
RNAcentral lists this ribosomal RNA (700 nucleotides) under Microbacterium saccharophilum. Its description in RNAcentral is "bacterial SSU rRNA". It matches the Rfam family "Bacterial small subunit ribosomal RNA", at positions 77 to 790 of the family's 1533-position model. The record is from RNAcentral. Lineage: Bacteria; Bacillati; Actinomycetota; Actinomycetes; Micrococcales; Microbacteriaceae.